Molecule: ribosomal RNA, 1337 nt
Filed under: uncultured bacterium
Lineage: Bacteria
Description: bacterial SSU rRNA
Rfam family: Bacterial small subunit ribosomal RNA
Source: RNAcentral
GAUGAACGUUGGCGGCGUGCCUAAUACAUGCAAGUCGAACGAAGACUGUAGUAAUACUGUCUUAGUGGCGAACGGGUGGGUAACGCGUGGGUGACCUGCCCCGAAGUGUGGGAUAACAGUCCGAAAGGAUUGCUAAUACUGCAUAAUAUCCAAGAGAUUAGACGCUUUUGGAUUAAAGGAUUUAUUCGCUUCGAGAGGAGCCUGCGUCCCAUCAGCUCGUUGGUAGGGUAACGGCCUACCAAGGCUAUGACGGGUAGGGGACCUGAGAGGGUGGCCCCCCACAAUGGAACUGAAACACGGUCCAUACACCUACGGGUGGCAGCAGUAGGGAAUAUUAGAAAUGGGCGAAAGCCUGAUCUAGCAACACCGCGUGUGCGAUGAAGGCCUUCGGGUCGUAAAGCACUUUUUGGAGGGAAUAGGAAGGAAGGUACCUCCAGAAUAAGUCUCGGCUAACUACGUGCCAGCAGCCGCGGUAACACGUAGGAGGCAAACGUUAUCCGGAUUCACUGGGCGUAAAGCGCGUGUAGGUGGUUCUGUAAGUAGGGCGUGAAAGCUCCCGGCUCAACUGGGAGAGGCCGUACUAAACUGCAGAGCUAGAGGAUGGUAGAGGGAGGUGGAAUUCCGGGUGUAGUGGUGAAAUGCGCAGAUAUCUGGAGGAACACCAGUGGCGAAGGCGGCUUCCUGGACCGCAACUGACGCUGAGGCGCGAAAGCUGGGGGAGCGAACAGGAUUAGAUACCCUGGUAGUCCCAGCCGUAAACUAUGAACACUAGGUGUGGAGGGUAUCGACCCCCUCCGUGCCGCAGCUAACGCAAUAAGUGUUCCGCCUGGGGAGUACGGCCGCAAGGCUAAAACUCAAAGGAAUUGACGGGGGCCCGCACAAGCGGUGGAGCAUGUGGUUUAAUUCGAUGCAACGCGAAGAACCUUACCAGGGCUUGACAUCCCCCGACGCGUAUGGAAACAUGCGUUCUCUCUUCGGAGAGCGGGGAGACAGGUGGUGCAUGGCUGUCGUCAGCUCGUGUCGUGAGAUGUUGGGUUAAGUCCCGCAACGAGCGCAACCCCUGUCCCAAGUUGCCAACGGGUAAAGCCGGGAACUCUUGGGAGACCGCCGGCGACAAGCCGGAGGAAGGUGGGGAUGACGUCAAGUCAUCAUGCCCUUUAUGCCCUGGGCUACACACGUGCUACAAUGGUCGGUACAGAGGGAAGCCAAGGCGCGAGCCGGAGCGAAUCCCCCAAAGCCGGCCCCAGUUCGGAUCGCAGGCUGCAACCCGCCUGCGUGAAGUAGGAAUCGCUAGUAAUCACGGGUCAGCAUACCGUGGUGAAUACGUUCCCGGGCCU